GACGAACGCUGGCGGCGUGCUUAACACAUGCAAGUCGAACGAUGAAGCUGGAACUUGCUCCGGUGGAUUAGUGGCGAACGGGUGAGUAACACGUGAGCAAUCUGCCCUUGACUCUGGGAUAACUGCGGGAAACUGUAGCUAAUACCGGAUACUUUCACUGGAAGGCAUCUUCUGGUGAAGAAAGAAUUUCGGUCAAGGAUGAGCUCGCGGCCUAUCAGCUUGUUGGUGAGGUAACGGCUCACCAAGGCGACGACGGGUAGCCGGCCUGAGCGGGUGACCGGCCACACUGGGACUGAGACACGGCCCAGACUCCUACGGGAGGCAGCAGGGGGGAAAAUUGCACGAUGGGCGCAAGCCUGAUGCAGCAGCGCCGCGUGAGGGAUGAAGGCCUUCGGGUUGUAAACCUCUUUUAGCAGGGAAGAAGCGAAAGUGACGGUACCUGCAGAAAAAGCACCGGCUAACUACGUGCCAGCCGCCGCCGUAA
Molecule: ribosomal RNA, 484 nt
Filed under: uncultured bacterium
Lineage: Bacteria
Description: partial 16S ribosomal RNA
Rfam family: Bacterial small subunit ribosomal RNA
Source: RNAcentral